GUGUCUGUAGCUCAGUUGGAAGAGCGCGUGACUGUGGCUCACGAGGCCGCGGGUUCAAUCCCCGUCAGACACCC
RNAcentral lists this transfer RNA (74 nucleotides) under Virus Rctr197k. RNAcentral describes it as "tRNA-His". It matches the Rfam family "tRNA". From Rfam's summary of the family: Transfer RNA (tRNA) molecules are approximately 80 nucleotides in length. Their secondary structure includes four short double-helical elements and three loops (D, anti-codon, and T loops). The record is from RNAcentral. Lineage: Duplodnaviria; Heunggongvirae; Uroviricota; Caudoviricetes.